CCUACGGGAGGCAGCAGUGGGGAAUAUUGGACAAUGGGGGGAACCCUGAUCCGGCGACGCCGCGUGAGUGAAGAAGUAUUUCGGUAUGUAAAGCUCUAUCAGCAGGGAAGAAAGAAAUGACGGUACCUGACUAAGAAGCCCCGGCUAACUACGUGCCAGCCGCCGCGGUAAUACGUAGGGGGCAAGCGUUAUCCGGAUGUACUGGGUGUAAAGGGAGCGUCGACGGCGAUGCAAGUCUGAAGAGAAAGGCGGGGGCCCAACCUCCGGACUGCCUUGGAAACUGUAUGGCUGGAGUGCAGGGGAGGUAAGUGGAAUUCCUAGUGUAGCGGUGAAAUGCGUAGAUAUUAGGAGGAACACCAGGGGCGAAGGCGGCUUACUGGACUGUAACUGACGUUGAGGCUCGAAAGCGUGGGGAGCAAACAGGAUUAGAUACCCCUGUAGUC
This 443-nucleotide ribosomal RNA is filed under the name uncultured bacterium. RNAcentral's name for it is "partial 16S ribosomal RNA". It matches the Rfam family "Bacterial small subunit ribosomal RNA", at positions 338 to 795 of the family's 1533-position model. The record is from RNAcentral.